This 96-nucleotide transfer RNA is filed under the name Nocardioides phosphati. RNAcentral describes it as "tRNA-Val". The record is from RNAcentral. Lineage: Bacteria; Bacillati; Actinomycetota; Actinomycetes; Propionibacteriales; Nocardioidaceae.
GCGGCGGUGGCGCAGGCCCGGCUGUCGUUCCGGCCGACCUGCGGGUGGCGGUGCUCGGAGGCACCGGACCCCAGGGUCGCGGCCUGGCCCGCCGCU